Molecule: long non-coding RNA, 1096 nt
Filed under: Oryctolagus cuniculus (rabbit)
Lineage: Eukaryota; Metazoa; Chordata; Mammalia; Lagomorpha; Leporidae
Description: lncRNA (ENSOCUG00000036851.1)
Source: RNAcentral
UCUUGGUGAAUUGGUGAAUUGAACUUCUUUUAGAAAGUAAAUAGAUAGAAGCAUUUUAUUGUAUUGAAAACUGAAUUUUAUAUAUAUAUAUAUAUAUAUUUAUUUAUUUAAAACGCAGAGCUACAGAGAGAAAGGGAGAGACAGAAUCCACUAGUUCACUCCCCAAAUGGCUGCAAUGGCCAAUACUAGUCCAGGCCAAAGCCAAGAGCCAGGGACUUCAUCUGGGGUUCCCAAGCUGGUAUAGGGGUCCAAGUACUCAGACCAUCUUCUGUUAUUUUUCCCAGGCCUUUAGCAGGGAGUUGGAAUGGAGCUGGAAAAGCCAGGAAUUGAACUGGAGCCCAUGCGGAGAGCCUGCAUCUCAGGUGGUGCCUUAACCCACAGCGCCACAGUGCCAGCCCUGAAUGCAAGUUUCAUUACACUCAGAGGAUAUGAUAGAAGGAACUCAAAGAAUAGCACAUGGUGGCAGAUGAUUGGGAUUUGCAAGGGGGAUUUUAACCUCGACAGUUUAACCCACAGUGAGGUCAUGGAUCCAGUUUGCCAAGGGACUAAGUCAACGCUCCAGCCCAAGGCUCAUGGGAGCCUGGCACCGACUGGGGCUCUGCAGACCAGAUUCAGAGGAAGGGAGACUUGACCUCUGCCAGAGGAGGCAGAUCCCAGUGAGCAGCACAUCUCAGUGGAUGUCGGACACACCCCCUCCUUGCUCUGAUCACCCUGAAAGUCUAAUGAACCAGAUACUGUGUCUGCCAACCGCGUUGUGCAUGCUGCAUUCAGCAUCCGGAUUUUUGGUGCUGUGCCAGUCUUAAUGAAGCUGUCUUCUUGUUUUCUGAAUAGCUGUGGACACCUAAGGGCAUGACGACCGAGCAAGGGUGUGCUAUGAUGCUAGACCAUCGCACGGGCUGGACGGGUCGUGGCAUGAGUCGGGUUAAUGUGAAGUGAUGGGGCUUCUUGAGUCCAGUCUCCCACUGCUCCUUUAAGAGAAGAGAAGCAAUGGGAGACUGCUGGCUUUUUGGCAUUGGCUCACAAGAAUUACACGUCUGCAAGAAAACACAAGUUUGUAUUGCAUGACUCAUGUUGAAUAAAAACAAGUUUGUAUUCA